Molecule: ribosomal RNA, 767 nt
Filed under: uncultured bacterium
Lineage: Bacteria
Description: bacterial SSU rRNA
Rfam family: Bacterial small subunit ribosomal RNA
Source: RNAcentral
ACGCUGGCGGCGUGCCUAACACUAUGCAAGUCGAGCGGUAAGGCCCCUUCGGGGGUACACGAGCGGCGAACGGGUGAGUAACGCGUGGGUAACCUACCCAGAAGUGGGGGAUAGCCUCGGGAAACCGGGGGUAAUACCGCAUGUGUCCCAGACGACAUAAGUCGAUUGGGAGAAAGGCGGGGAUCUUCGGACCUGUCGCUUCUGGAUGGGCCCGCGUCCGAUUAGCUUGUUGGUGAGGUAACGGCUCACCAAGGCAUCGAUCGGUAGCCGGCCUGAGAGGGUGAACGGCCACAUUGGGACUGAGACACGGCCCAGACUCCUACGGGAGGCAGCAGUGGGGAAUAUUGGGCAAUGGGCGCAAGCCUGACCCAGCGACGCCGCGUGGAGGAUGAAGGCCUUCGGGUUGUAAACUCCUGUCAGGUGGGAAGAAAUGCCCGUCGGUGAAUAGCCGACGGGAGUUGACGGUACCACCAAAGGAAGCCCCGGCUAACUCCGUGCCAGCAGCCGCGGUAAUACGGAGGGGGCAAGCGUUAUUCGGAUUUACUGGGCGUAAAGAGCACGUAGGCGGCCAGGCAUGUCGACGGUGAAAGCCCUCGGCUCAACCGAGGAACUGCCUUCGAAACUGCCUGGCUUGAGUCCGGGAGAGGGGAGCGGAAUUCCCAGUGUAGCGGUGAAAUGCGUAGAUACUGGGAGGAACACCAGUGGCGAAGGCGGCUCCCUGGACCGGUACUGACGCUGAGGUGCGAAAGCGUGGGUAGCAAACAGGA